CCAAAUGAGGCUCAGGGACAUCCUCCUCCAUCUGAGGCUCAGGGACAUCCUCCUCCAUCUGAGGCUCGCGGACAUCCUCCUCCAUCUGAGGCUCACGGACAUCAUCAUGGAUGUCUUGUCUUCGACGACGAUGCCUAAUUUGACGAUUUGCUUCGUUUCGUCGUCUAUUUGAUGCUGUUGGUGGAAUUCUCUCAACACCAUCACCACCUACAAUAUUGCGAAUAAUUUGGCCGAAAGCACCUCUCAUCCUAGGCACUGCAACAUAUAAAUAUAUAAAUAUUAAAAAAAAUUAUAAACAAUAAAAAAUCAAUGUAACAAUAUAUAAAUAAUGUUUCCCAAGAUAAUAUAUAAACAAUAUAUAAAUAAUAUUUCCCAUUUAGUUUCAAAAAAUUAUAAAUAAUAUAUAAAAGUAUGUUUCAAAAAUUUGGGUUUAUCCAAACUUUCGAAAGUAUGUUUCGAAACUUUCCCUCAACUUCGAACAUUUUCCAGGCAUUUCGAAACUUUCCCUGGCCUUGCAUUUCGAAGAUUUCAAAUUCAAGAAACUUUCGAAAGUUUCUUGUUUCGAAGAUUUCAAAAUAUUCGAGGAUUGCAUUUCGAAGAUUUCAAAUUCAAGGAACUUUCGAAAGUUUCUUGUUUCGAAGAUUUCAAAAUAUUCGAGGAUUGCAUUUCGAAGAUUUCAAAUUCAAGAAACUUUCGAAAGUUUCUUGUUUCGAAGAUUUCAAAAUAUUCGAGGAUUGCAUUUCGAAGAUUUCAAAUUCAAGAAACUUUCGAAAGUUUCUUGUUUCGAAGAUUUCAAAAUAUUCGAGGAUUGCAUUUCGAAGAUUUCAAAUUCAAGAAACUUUCGAAAGUUUCUUGUUUCGAAGAUUUCAAAAUAUUCGAGGAUUGCAUUUCGAAGAUUUCAAAUUCAAGAAACUUUCGAAAGUUUCUUGUUUCGAAGAUUUCAAAAUAUUCGAGGAUUGCAUUUCGAAGAUUUCAAAUUCAAGAAACUUUCGAAAGUUUCUUGUUUCGAAGAUUUCAAAAUAUUCGAGGAUUGCAUUUCGAAGAUUUCAAAUUCAAGAAACUUUCGAAAGUUUCUUGUUUCGAAGAUUUCAAAAUAUUCGAGGAUUGCAUUUCGAAGAUUUCAAAUUCAAGGAAACUUUCGAAACUUUCUUGUGUUUCGAAUCUUCCAAAUCUUCGAUGGAUGCAUUUCGAAAGUUUCAAAAAAUUGCAAAGUUUCGAAAAUGAACUUACUUUUGCGUUUCGAAUCUUUCAGAUCUUCGAAGGUUGGGUUGAAUUUGGAUCGGAUAUUUGAAAUUUUCGAAUGAUUUGGUGAAAAAUGUGGGUAAAUUUUUUUUUUGGUUUAUAUAUGAGAUGGAGGGUAAAAUAGUCUUUUAAUCAUGACUGGGGGUGGCAGGUAAAAUUGGGGGGGUGCCUGGUACAAAACUCCCGGUUGGAUCGUCGAUCAGAGGUUUGAUGUGGGAAACAUUGAGCUCAGACAGUAGCAGGUUUUUCUGUUGAACUUUGUUCUCAAUUUCAUACUUGUUUUCUCAUUGUUUUGGUUGAUUGUUGUGCUGGUUACCUUGCUGUUUUUGGCUGGUUACUGAGCACGAAUUUGUGCCAUAUUUGAAACUCUCUUGUACCCAUAUUUUGAUCAUAGUGGAGCUCUAUUACUGGUUUGGUCUCGUGGUUGUUUACUUCUCACAUUGAGAAGGUUUUUCCACGUUAAAAAUUAUUGUGUCAUUUGUGGUAGUGAUUUUAGUUGCUGUGAUUAUUUGUUGAUUGCUCCUCACAGAUUCUUGCAAGUUUGGGAAAUUGAUUAUCCGCUGCAUAUUGCUCUGUUAGAGUUGUUAUUAUAUUUGUUGUUGAAUUUCCCAUCAGAGUGGCAUCAGAGCUCUUUGGUUAAGGGGAUGUUUGACUUGUUUGAAUGAUGGAGGCAAAUACAAAUAGAAUGAUUUAUUUGAAUGGCACUAAUUAUCACUUAUGGAAGGGAAAAAUGAAGGAUAUGUUAUUUGUGAAGAAUUUGCAUCUUCUUGUGUUUGCUAUUGAGAAGCCAUAAUCCAAGAUUGAUGACGAUUGGAGUUUUGAACAUCAGCAGGUUUGUGGUUUUAUUCGGUAAUAUGUAGAAGACAAUGUUUAUAAUCACAUUGCUAAUGAGGAACAUGCAAGAUCCUUGUGGAAGAAGAUUGAAUCUUUGUAUGCUUCUAAAUCAGGGAAUAAUAAGUUUUAUUUGUUGAACUCCUUGAUGAAUUUGAGGUACAAGGAGGGGACUUCUAUUUCAGAUCAUUUAAAUGAUUUUCAAGGGCUCCUAGAUCAAUUGUCAGGUAUGGGUAUCAAAUUUGAUGAUGAAGUGUUGGGACUAUGGCUACUGAAUACUCUACCAGAUUCUUGGGAAACUUUUCGGGUUUCAAUUACAAACUCAGCUUCUGAUGGUGUUGUCUCUUUGCAAAGUGUAAAGGGAAGUGUUCUUAAUGAGGAGAUGAGAAGGAAGGCACAAGGUACUUCAUCUCAUUCCGAGGUACUUGUCACUGAGAACAGGGGCCGAAGUCAAAGAAAGGAACCGAAAGGGAAUAGACAGAAUAACAGAAGUGCGAGUAGAGAGAACAACAGAAGUAAGUCCAAGUCCAGAUACAAGAAUGUGGAGUGCAAUUAUUGUCACAAAAUGGGGCACAUAUAGAGGAACUGCUUCAUAUGGAAAAGGGAGAGCAAAAACAAUAACAGUAAGCAGAGAGAUAAGAAUCAUGAUGAUGAUGAUCGUGUUACUAUUGCUACUUGUGAUGAUCUGAUUAUUCUCCGUGACUAUGACUCAGUCAAUCUUGUAUCAAAUGAGAGCAUGUGGAUUGUUGAUAGUGGUGAUACACUGCAUGUUACACCAAGGAAGGAGUUCUUCACAUCUUACACUUCUGGUGACUUUGGAGUGUUGAAGAUGGGUAAUGAUGGUGUGUCCAAGGUAGUUGGUAUUGGUGAUGUUUAUUUGCAGACCAACAUGGGAGUGCAGUUGUUGCUUAGAGGAGUCAAACAUGCUCCAGAUGUUCGCUUUAAUUUGAUCUCUGUGCAGAUGCUUGAUGAUGGUGGUUUUGAUAAUCACUUUGGUUCAGGAAAAUGGAAACUCACCAGAAGUAACUUAGUUGUGGCCAGAUGGGAGAAAAUUAAUAAACUGUAUUGGACUAAAGCAUUGGUUGCUAAAGACAGUGUGAAUUUCAUGGAUAUGGAGGCUUCUUUGUGGCACCGCAGGCUUAGUCAUAUUAGUGAAAAGGGGCUGAAUUGUUUAGCUAAAAAGGAUGUACUUCCGGGAUUAAAGAGUGCAGAGUUGGAGAAAUGUUCUCAUUGCAUGGCUGGUAAGCAGACUAGAGUAUCCUUCAAGAAACAUCAUCCCUCAAGAAAGUCAGAGUUGCUUGAAUUGGUGCAUUCUGAUGUUUGUGGCCCGUUGAAGGUAAAGUCAAUUAGUGGUGCACUUUACUUUAUUACUUUUAUUGAUGAUUGUUCUAGAAAGCUUUGGGUCUAUGCUUUGAAGACAAAAGACCAAGUUCUGGAGAAAUUCAAAGAGUUCCAUGUUAUGGUGGAGAGACAGUCAGGCAAGAAGUUGAAAUGCAUUCGUACUGACAAUGGUGGUGAGUAUUGUGGACCAUUUGAUGUUUAUUGCAAGCAGCACGGUAUCAGACAUGAAAAGACUCCUCCUAAAACCCCUCAGCUGAAUGGUUUAGCAGAGAGAAUGAACAGGACAUUGAUUGAAAGAGUUAGGUGUAUGCUUUCUGAAGCAAAGUUGCCUAAGCAUUUCUGGGGUGAAGCAUUGUACAUGGCAGUGCAUGUUAUUAAUCUGAGUCCUGCAGCUGCUUUGAAUGCUGAGGUGCCAGACAAGAUUUGGUUUGGCAAGAAUGUCAGGUAUGAUCAUUUGCGUGUCUUCGGUUGCAAAGCAUAUGUGCAUGUUCCAAAGGAUGAGAGAUCCAAGUUGGAUGGGAAGACAAGACAGUGCAUCUUUAUCGGUUAUGGUCAGGAUGAAUUUGGCUACAAGCUGUUUGAUCCAGUUGAGAAGAAAGCUGUUAGAAGCCGUGAUGUGAAGUUCAUGGAAGACCAAACCAUUGAAGACAUUGAUAAGAUGGAGAAGACUACACCUGAGAUUGAUAAUGGUUUGUCUGAUGUUGAUCCAGUUCGGAUGCCUACACAUGAUCUGGAUACUGCUGAAAAUAAUGUUCAGAAUGAUGAGCAACAUGGUGAUGUUGGUGAUCAGCAGCUUGGAGAUGAUUUUGAUGUUCCUAAUGAUGAUGCUGAAGAAGAACAUGAGAUGUCACAAGAUGAGGAUCUUGGUGAUGCUCCUGAACCACCUCAAGCUCAAGUUUGGAGGUCUACUAGGCAGAGGAAACCAUCCACCAGGUAUCCUUCUGAUGACUAUGUUACCUUGACUGAUGGAGGCGAACCUGAAUGUUAUGAUGAAGCCAUGGAGAGUGAUGAAAAGAAGAAGUGGUUGGAUGCUAUGCAAGAUGAAAUGAAGUCUUUGCAUGAUAAUCACACUUUUGAUUUGGUGAAACUACCUAAGGGAAAGAAGGCUUUGGAAAACAGGUGGAUCUUCAGAGUGAAGCAAGAAAACAAUUCUACAUCUUCAAGAUAUAAAGCCAGAUUAGUUGUGAAAGGUUUCAGACAGAGAAAGGGUGUUGAUUUCAAUGAGAUUUUUUCUCCUGUGGUGAAGAUGUCAUCCAUUAGAACUGUGUUGAGUUUGGCUGCUACUCUUGAUUUGGAGGUAGAGCAAAUGGAUGUAAAAACUGCUUUCCUUCAUGGUGAUUUGGAGGAAGAGAUUUACAUGAAGCAACCUGAUGGUUUUCUUGUUAAAGGCAAAGAAGACUAUGUGUGUAGGCUCAGAAAGAGUCUAUAUGGUUUGAAGCAGGCCCCGCGUCAGUGGUACAAGAAGUUUGAGUCAGUUAUGUGUGAGCAAGGCUACAGGAAGACUACUUCUGAUCACUGUGUCUUUGUUAAAAAGUUUGCUGAUGAUGAUUUCAUUAUCUUGUUAUUGUAUGUUGAUGACAUGCUUAUUGUUGGGAAAAAUAUUUCCAUGAUUAACAGGUUGAAGAAGCAAUUGGGCGAGUCAUUUGCCAUGAAAGACAUGGGAGCUGCUAAGCAGAUUCUUGGUAUAAGAAUCAUGCGUGACAGGAACAAGAAGAAACUUUGGCUGUCACAAGAACACUAUGUUGAAAGACUGUUACAGAGGUUCCAGAUGGAAUAUGCUAAGGCUGUAAGUACUCCUCUUGCUACUCAUUUUAAAUUGAGUACUAGUCAGAGUCCUACCAAUGAAGCUGAAAAAUCAGAUAUGCAACGAGUUCCUUAUGCAUCUGCUGUGGGUAGUUUAAUGUAUGCAAUGGUGUGUACAAGGCCUGAUAUUGCACAUGCUGUUGGUACAGUUAGUAGAUUUCUGUCUAAUCCAGGUAGAGAGCAUUGGAAUGCUGUGAAAUGGAUUUUGAGGUAUCUUCGUGGUACUACCAGUUUGAGGCUUUGUUUUGGAGGUGAUAAGCCUACUCUUGUGGGAUAUACUGAUUCUGAUAUGGCUGGAGACAUUGAUUCCAGAAAGUCUACUUCAGGCUACUUGAUUAAGCUUGCAGGGGGAGCUGUGGCAUGGCAAUCCAGAUUGCAGAGGUGUGUUGCAUUGUCCACUACUGAGGCAGAGUUCAUUGCCAUUACAGAAGCAUGCAAGGAAUUGUUAUGGUUGAGGAAAUUCUUGCAGGAGCUUGGUUUUGUUCAAGAUAAGUAUUUGCUAUUUUGUGAUAGUCAAAGUGCAAUUCAUCUUGGUAAGAACUCAACCUUUCAUUCUAGGUCCAAGCACAUUGAUGUUAGGUAUCAUUGGAUACGUGAUGUUUUGGAUGCUGGAUUGUUGGAAUUGGCCAAGAUUCAUACAGAUGAUAAUGGUGCUGAUAUGAUGACCAAGGCAUUACCGAGAAGCAAGUUUGAAACUUGUUGUGAGAUCGCCGGUUUGGCGGUCACCUCCACAUAGUUGUGAGGGAAGAUAUGUUGGGUUUUGGGCUCCCUUCCUAUGUGGAGAAAGACCCAAUAUGUGCAAGAAGUGCGAAAGUACUUUGUGGAUAAAAUAAUAAAGACACUUGAGCAAGUCUUCAAUACCAAAGUCUUGCUGGAGAGAAGUUAUAUUGAGUAUUGACUUUGAUUUGACAAUUAAGUUAUAUUUUGAGUGUUUACUUUGAUUUGACAAGUUUUUAUCAGGUUACUUCGCGAGAGAUGUCAUCUUCUCGUAUUUUUUCUCCUUUUUUUUUUCCUUUGAUUUUUAAGAUCCGAAUUUUUUUUUAUUGGACUCGGGUUUUUGGGGUGGCUGGUAGAGUCGCAAUUCAACGCAUAAUUUACUUACCCAUAUCACCCACGCGAAUAACAUAUUAAUUAUUUUUAUUUUUAUUAUUAUUAUUAUUAUUAUAUAAAAAUAUUUGUAUAUAUAUUUAUAUACAACACAAAAGUAUCAAUAAAAAUAUAGAUUUUAUCAUACUAAUAAUAUUUAUAUUACUAAUUUAAAUAUACAAAUAAAAGUUUAAAAAAAUUUAGCUAAAUUAACUAUUUUUAAGUUUUUAGGUGGAAUAAAAAAGUUCCAUAUAUAUAUAUAUAUAUAUAUAUAUAUAUAUAUAUAUAUACCUAUUUAAAGUUAGUAAUUAAUUUGUUAAAAGAUCAGUGUUCUAAAUUUUAUUUUGUAUUCAUUCAAAUAAUUUUAAGUUUAGUAAUUAAUUUUUGUUUUGUUUUAAUUCUAUUAAUAUUGUUAAAUCAAAUAAAUAGUUACAUAAAGAUCAAUAUAAUUUUUGGAUAAUUUAAAUUCUUUAAUUUAUUAUUUUUACAAUUUAAUAUUAAGUAACCUUGAAUAUUUUUUUAAUUGUGUUGAAAUAAUAUAGCAUUUUAUUAUUUAACAAUUUAUUUUAAUUAUAAUAUUGGUACAAGGUACGCAAAGGAUUACUAAGUACAUAAAUAAUAAAUAUACGAAGAUUAAGAUUAAUUCUCGUAUAAAUCUGGUGUAUAUGGAGUCAUGUUUUUCAUCAAUAAAUUAGAUUGACCUGUUUUUAAAUUAGAUUUAAGAUUAGAUUUUUUUACUGUAAAUUAUUUUUUUAAUUAAUAAAUUAAUAUAACAAUUUUUUUAUUAAAAUAGUUUCCGUACGAAGCACGGAUUACCUAGUAAUUUAAUAUUAUUUUUUAGAUUUCAAACUUAAUUUUUUAUUUUAAUGAAGACGAUAUAGAGUUAAUUGGCGAUACUUAAAUCCAACUUUUCCAAUUUAAAAGUUCAUCUCCAUACGAGAUUUGUAGGCCCAACCCAAAGCCCAACCCAACAUGAUCUAUAUACAUAAAAGCUCAAACAAUUAAACUGAUUCUUUUCACUUUCUCGCAAGUUCGGAAACCUUUCCUUCACUUUCUCAUCAUCCAAACACCAAAACCAUCAACAACCAUGACAACAAUCAGUCUCCGGAAGGGAAACACACGUCUUCCACCGGAAGUUAACCGCGUCCUCUACGUUCGCAACCUUCCCUUCAACAUAACAAGCGAAGAAAUGUACGAUAUAUUCGGCAAAUACGGUGCUAUUCGUCAGAUCCGAAUCGGAACUAACAAAGACACGCGCGGCACCGCUUUUGUCGUUUACGAAGACAUUUACGACGCUAAAACUGCCGUCGAUCAUCUCUCUGGUUUCAAUGUCGCUAAUCGAUAUCUCAUCGUUCUUUAUUAUCAGCAUGCUAAGAUGAGUAAGAAGUUUGAUCAGAAGAAGAAGGAAUUUCGUAAAUUUUAUUGACAUUAAAAAAAUAAGUUAACUUAAAAAAAAUUUACAAUAAAAAAAUUUAAAAAAUCUAAUUAUAACUUAACUUAAAAAUUAAUUUCUUAUAAGCUCUAUGUUAUCGAUGAAAAGUAUGACUCCAACACCAUGCCUUUUUUUUUGAAUUCUACAAAGAAUCUUUUUUCUUUCCAAAAAAUUUAUUAUAAAAUAAUAUUUUUAAUUUUAAACAAAUAAAAAUAAUAAUUAUUAAAAAAAAUUAAAUAAUUAGAUUAGAUGAAAUAAGAAUUUUUAAAACAAUGGACAUGGACAUAUAUAAAAUAAAUUAUUAUUUUUCUCUUCAAUAUUCUGGAAAUUUAAUUGGAUUCAUGGCUAAGAAGCUUAAAUAAAUUUUAUAUUUACUUAAAUAAAUUAUUAUUUUUUAUUUAAUAUAACUAUGUGCCAACACCAUUUAUUAACUAUUUAUGAGAGAAUUUAAGAGAAUAGAAAUAGAGUUAGUAAGACAAAUCUUAUAUAAGAGAAUAGAAAUAGAGUUAGUAAGAGAAAUCUUGUAUAAGAGAAUAGAAAUAUAAAUAUACAAAUGUACAAUUUGUUGACUAUUUAUUAGUGAAUUUAAAAUCGGAGUUAUUAAGACAAAUGUUAUAUAAGAGAAUAGAAAUUUACAUAUACACAUUUACAAUUUUUUGAGACAAAAUUAAGAAACAUAAACAAUACAAAAUAUAUAUACAUAACAAAAUAGUAAUCUUUUUUUAUAAAUAAAAUAAAAUAACAAUGAUAGAUUGAAAAAAAUUUACCAUUCAAGUAAUUCGUGUGAACAUAUACUCCAGAAAGUUGCUAGACGCAACACGAACAAAUACAUAGUUUCACCAGGAAUACUCUAUUGCAUAAAGGUCGAUGGAACAAUGUAGGCAAGGGAAGUCGGCAAAAUGGAUCCGUAACCUCGGGAAAAUGAUUGACUUUGACGGCUGGCUAUGGAUUUAAAGAUGUUGUUGUUAGAAAUAGAAAUAUGAAUUUAUUUAAAUAAUAAUUAGUUUUUUCUUGAUUUUGUUUGAAGAUAAUGAUGAAUUUUUUAGAUUUUUAUAAAAAAUAUAUUAUUGACAUUUUAAAAUAUACUUAUUUAAAAUUAAAUAAAUAAUUAAUUAAAAAAUAAAAAUUAUUAUUAAAAUUAAUUUAAAAAAGUGCGAAAGUACUUUGUGGAUAAAAUAAUAAAGACACUUGAGCAAGUCUUCAAUACCAAAGUCUUGCUGGAGAGAAGUUAUAUUGAGUAUUGACUUUGAUUUGACAAUUAAGUUAUAUUUUGAGUGUUUACUUUGAUUUGACAAGUUUUUAUCAGGUUACUUCGCGAGAGAUGUCAUCUUCUCGUAUUUUUUCUCCUUUUUUUUUUCCUUUGAUUUUUAAGAUCCGAAUUUUUUUUUAUUGGACUCGGGUUUUUGGGGUGGCUGGUAGAGUCGCAAUUCAACGCAUAAUUUACUUACCCAUAUCACCCACGCGAAUAACAUAUUAAUUAUUUUUAUUUUUAUUAUUAUUAUUAUUAUUAUAUAAAAAUAUUUGUAUAUAUAUUUAUAUACAACACAAAAGUAUCAAUAAAAAUAUAGAUUUUAUCAUACUAAUAAUAUUUAUAUUACUAAUUUAAAUAUACAAAUAAAAGUUUAAAAAAAUUUAGCUAAAUUAACUAUUUUUAAGUUUUUAGGUGGAAUAAAAAAGUUCCAUAUAUAUAUAUAUAUAUAUAUAUAUAUAUAUAUAUAUAUAUAUAUAUAUAGAGAGAAUCAAUAUAAUUUUUGGAUAAUUUAAAUUCUUUAAUUUAUUAUUUUUACAAUUUAAUAUUAAGUAACCUUGAAUAUUUUUUUAAUUGUGUUGAAAUAAUAUAGCAUUUUAUUAUUUAACAAUUUAUUUUAAUUAUAAUAUUGGUACAAGGUACGCAAAGGAUUACUAAGUACAUAAAUAAUAAAUAUACGAAGAUUAAGAUUAAUUCUCGUAUAAAUCUGGUGUAUAUGGAGUCAUGUUUUUCAUCAAUAAAUUAGAUUGACCUGUUUUUAAAUUAGAUUUAAGAUUAGAUUUUUUUACUGUAAAUUAUUUUUUUAAUUAAUAAAUUAAUAUAACAAUUUUUUUAUUAAAAUAGUUUCCGUACGAAGCACGGAUUACCUAGUAAUUUAAUAUUAUUUUUUAGAUUUCAAACUUAAUUUUUUAUUUUAAUGAAGACGAUAUAGAGUUAAUUGGCGAUACUUAAAUCCAACUUUUCCAAUUUAAAAGUUCAUCUCCAUACGAGAUUUGUAGGCCCAACCCAAAGCCCAACCCAACAUGAUCUAUAUACAUAAAAGCUCAAACAAUUAAACUGAUUCUUUUCACUUUCUCGCAAGUUCGGAAACCUUUCCUUCACUUUCUCAUCAUCCAAACACCAAAACCAUCAACAACCAUGACAACAAUCAGUCUCCGGAAGGGAAACACACGUCUUCCACCGGAAGUUAACCGCGUCCUCUACGUUCGCAACCUUCCCUUCAACAUAACAAGCGAAGAAAUGUACGAUAUAUUCGGCAAAUACGGUGCUAUUCGUCAGAUCCGAAUCGGAACUAACAAAGACACGCGCGGCACCGCUUUUGUCGUUUACGAAGACAUUUACGACGCUAAAACUG
Molecule: long non-coding RNA, 10338 nt
Filed under: Cicer arietinum (chickpea)
Lineage: Eukaryota; Viridiplantae; Streptophyta; Magnoliopsida; Fabales; Fabaceae
Description: long non-coding RNA (CARI_LNC001171)
Source: RNAcentral